CGGAAAUCAGAUAUACAGCAUUCGUGAGACGGAAUGACAAUUUCGAUCGCACGCACUUGUCUAACCUCUAUCUGCCCGUUAUUAAUUUGGAAUAAAUUAUUCUAGACUCUCGGCGAACAUUUAACGGUCAAUGUGGUGCUCCAAUUUUAUAUUCAACGUAUCGAAUACGUAUACGCUGUGUAAAAUUUAUAAUUAUAUACAACAAUAACGUGUGUGUGUGCGUGGAAGCCAGAGCACAUUGCAAGAUAUAAAAGUGCCGGAAAGAGCAGGUGGCUACUCAUACAAAGACAGCUCGAAAUACUUCACUCGUAACCGUUUCAUUUACUGGCGUAUUUGUCACGAUAUGCUCGAACUGGUCGAACACAGUCUGGACAUCAAUCUGGCGAACUGCCGGGUGAGAUACAAGUUCACAGACACUCCCAUCUUAGAUGGAAUUUCCAUUCAUGAGACAGUUAACUCUGUCGUUAUUUUGAUCGUCACCGUCUCCAGUGUUCACAAACUUUCGUUUUCUCAUCCAGAUAAGAUUCACAGGCAGGAAAACUUGCUGGGCACAUACACGGAUCUUAGUGUACAGUCUAUAUUUAGCGAAGCUUCCGUACAAAAUGCCAGAGAUCCUCAUACAUUUCACACCAUCGCCAAUGCCGGGACCACAAAUUCACCGGUUCCUCACGCGGCAGCGUCGUGGCUCACAUUGCCGCAGGAAGACGCGCUGUUUGCUCUCGCCUACAGUUCAGCCACUAUACUGCUCCUGAGGCUGGACGCGCUGACAGGCCUCGUGCAGAGCAGCGAAUUGAAGCAGGACUCGAUAGUGCCCAGGUUCUUGAGCGGCAUUGCCACCGCGUUCCGAGGCCGCAAUACCGAGGCCCACGUGGCAAUGUCCCUCGUUAUACACAGUUACGGUAGCGAUAUGUACCUGUUCGCGCUGUGCCGGGAAGGCAACGUACGUAUGUGGUCCUGCAAUAAGACACAAUGCACAGCGGUGACAGACGCGGCAAUCGAGAAUCGCAUUGUGUCCCAAGGUGCGCAGGGUCACGUGCUGAGGAAGGCGCUGGGCAACGAUAACGAGCUGUAUCUCGGCACGUUCUUGAAAUUCGGCGCCGGCUGCGAAUUCAGCGUUCUCAAGCCCGUGCAAGAUAACGGCAUGUUCAAGUUCGUUCGAUUGUGCACGUUGUACGCGCCCGACCAACACCUGGUGGAUUUCGCGUUCACCCCCACGAGAUUGUGGGCGGUGUGGAGGACGACGGACAUGGACGCCGUGGCGGUGACGCACGCACGGUUGUCGCUGAACGGCGCCCACGUGAACUCCGAGUGGGAGACGACGAUUCUGGAGCAGGCGCGCGACCGGGAUUACAUCGUGAGCGAUCCCGGCACGGAUCCGCGCCAGGCGUACAUCAAUUACAUCUUUCAUCCCGGCCAGUUCUCACUGGCGGACAUCACGAAGGCGCUGAGCAUCUACAGAAGGUCGAAUCUCAUCGCGGACAUGACCCUCUCGCCGGCCGUGUUGAAGGAGAGAGUGUGCAUGGCGGUGGAGGCGGAGAUGCAGGCGGAGGUGAUGGAUUACGUGAUCAUGGACGAGGAUUACCUGGAGAUCGCCAACAGAUGCUGGUCCAAGUUCUACUCGUGCGUCGUUCAGUAUCACGCCAACGGCACGCGUCCGGUAGGCUUGCUGCUCCUGCCGAGCGUCUACGGUGUCGUCCUGCUGAAAAAGUCGUCGUUCUCGCUUCUGAGACCGAUGGAAGCCCUGGAGCAUCUGGCGCUUUGCAACGAGAAAUCCUACACGUCCCGCUUCAAGACUACGCCCGUUCUUUCCCAGGACGAAGACACCUGCCAGGAUCUGAUCGUCCUGAUGUCGGCGUUGGUCAUGCUGGGGGAACAAUUGUCGGAAGAGGCGAAGACGGAAAUCGAGAGGGAACUGUAUCACCUGAGGAGUCCGGAUAUCAUAAUCGACGAUCUCCUGCUGAAGCUGAUGCUGGAGAAGCCCGACGAUCCGUUGUCGGACUUCGAUUUCCAAUCAGAACUCUAUCACAAGCUGGGUAACGUGAAGGACAUAUCCGGUGCCAUGGCCAUGUUGUUGGAAGCGUUAACGUACGACCUCGGGCAGCCGAGCAAGCUACAGUUCGAGAACGAGCAAGACGCCUCGAAGGUUCUGCUGCACGUGAAUCACCUGUUCGGCAGCCAACUGGGCAUUUCCGCGGUGUCGGAAACCGUCACGCAGAUCGCGCUCCUCAGGUUUUCCAUCUGCAGGGAUCUAUUGAUACUGCAGCAAAUCAUACUGCAACGUUCCGAGAUAUUCGACUCGAGGUCCCUGCACACCGUGCGAUCGUCGUUGGCGCCGAGGACCGUCGUGCUCACCCAGGCUUACUAUGUCGUCACGUGGAUAUGCGAGUCCACGGCGACGUACACGCCGUCGCAGUCGUUGCUAGAAUCCAGCGCUCAGCGUCUCUCGGCACUGAAGCUCGUCGACUCGCGAAUCAGCGUCGGCCAGAGGCAGCAUCGCUCCCUGUCGCUCUUGGAGCUGUUCAUUCACAGCAGCGGCGCGAAGCACGCCCACAUCCUGAUGGCUCAAGCGAACAUGGACCCGACGACCUUGAUACCUUGGCACUACAGCAUGCUGACGCACGUUACGCUCCUCGCGCAGCUCGUAUGGCCGAUAUCCGGUAACUUCGUCUUCCCCGAAUGGCUGCUGUCCAGCUGCCAAUUCCUGCUCGUGCAGGAAUACGUGAGGCUGCUGAACACGUGGUGCGAAUGGAACAGCGCCUCGAGGAAGUUCAUAUUGGCGGUCGCCUUGUUGGAGAUGGGAGAGAUGCAGAAGGCGUGCGACCACUUCCUUCGCGGUUCCAACGGCAUCCUGACUGACGUGUUCAUGGCGGACGCUCUGCUCGGCCCGAACGUCACGACGGGCAACAGCGCGCUGAUCCAUUAUUACCUGAAAGUGAUCAAACUGUUCGAGGAGCACAACGCGUCCGACUGUAUCAUCGAGAUCGCCGAGACGGCGAUCGCUGCCGCCGACACGGACGAUCCGAACCUACCAACCCUCCAUUCCAUAAUAUUCGCCCAACACCUGAACCUGGGCCAUCACACGGAGGCUUACCACUGCCUGAACGCGAACCCGGACGCCGCGCGUCGGGUGGACUGCCUGCGGCAGCUCGUGGUCACGCUGUUCGAGCGGAAGCUGCUGAUAGACCUGAUCUCCUUCCCUUACGUCGACAUGUACGAGGACCUCGAGAGAAUAGUGGAGGGCAGAGCGAGGAGCGUCGAUCUCAUGGAGAACAAUUACUACAACUUUUUGUACAGCUUCCACGUGAACAAGCAGAACAUGCGCAAAGCCGCAUCGGUGAUGUACGAGCAAGCCAUGCGUCUCAGCCAGGAGUCGCAUUCCGCGCCGAUCAUAUCGAGGCAGGCCCAGUGCCUGCUGGCGUGCAUCAAUGCUCUGCAUCACGUGAGCGAGAAGUACAGGUGGAUCGUGAGGCCUGUGAUCGAUCAGAACUUCACCGACGAGUCGAGCUCGCCGCAACUGCAGAAGAAGAGGGGCAUAGACGGGAAGGAGGUGCUGCACUACAAGAUCAAGAAACAAGUCGAGGUCCUCGAGUUGAAUGACAUCAAGAAGGAGUACUACAUAGUAGACGCGAGACUGAAGAUAUCGAAGGUCAAUUCGGAGAUGCACAUAGUCGCGCACACUGAACCAUCCGAACUGGUCGUCACUUUAUGCAGCACCGGCCUGUACACAACGGCGCUGCGCUUGUGCGACGAGUUCAGAAUCAGCAAAACGUCCGUGCUCGAAAGUCUGACGUCGCAGUGCAUCAAACUGAGCCAACGCGAGGAUCCGAACGCCUGGGACUGGCUGAUACAAAACGACAUAUUCGAUAUCGGCAUAUCCAAUACGACUAUUACAAAUACCGCUUGGAGGUUGUUGGAAUACUUCACGUUGAAACACGAGAAGAGUACCAACAGUGAACUGCACAAAGCCGUUGCGCGGAUGUUACUGCAAGACGGAGCCUUCCUGCCGCAAUGGUUAUUAAUAUCGUACAAGAAACGAAACGCCUCGGAGCUCCUGCGUCUUAUGUUAAAUACCGGCCGACUGUUGGAAGCGAGCGAUUUGGCGGUAGAUUACAUCAAUGCGGUGUUGGGUAGCGGCAAAGAACAUUUCGGCCUGAAAACGUCAUUAUUGGCUACCGCGCCGCCAACCUGGUUGCCGCUCAACACUAUAGAAGUACUUUUAAGUGAAUUAGAAUGCUUGAGUCAAGACUUCACUUACGUAAAAAGCUACGAAAGAUUAUACACAACGUUGGAGAAAUACAUGGAAAUAGUGAAACGCAUUUCGGACGAUAUGAUCGAGAUAAAAAUGAAGAGCAAGCACUCCUAGUAAAUUAGGCAAAUUCUGCGUGUCUUCUGUUUGCGUAUCAUCUCUCGACCAGCCUCCUGUGAUGUACAUACUUGUAUCGGUUUACGUUAUCAUUACAGUAAUUGUAAUAAUAAUAAUAAAAAUAGUAGCUUUAUUGGCCACGACAACAGUAUAAUAUCAAUCAUAUAAUCUGUAACAAUUUAUGUCCAAAAGGCGAGGUAGCAGCACUAGAUAUCAAUGCCUGACCCGAGUAGAUGCAAUUGUAACAAUUUGUAACGGUAGCACACUUUAUACGCGCCAUUCCGAAGCAUCACGCACUAACAUCAUCCGCAGCGCACGUCACCUCCUCGCCGCCGAUAAACGCGAUAGCCGAGAGUUAUCGAAAAACUGUGAAACUCGCGGCGAAACUCACCAAGUCCUCGCGAUCCGAACCGAAACGGGCAACUGUCGUAAAGUUUCCCGAUAAAUGCACAGAAUCAUUUAGCAAAUUAUUUUUCGCUAUACAUCAGGUUGAUGAGGAAUUUCAGAAACCUGAUGCACAACAGAUACAAGAUCUUCAGAUGGCAUUACAAGAAUUCUGCAUUCCAGUCGAAAAUAAAACAGUAAACCCUGUCAUAUUUGAAGAGGUAUUGCCUAUUGCUUGCAAGUUUGUGAAAACGGAGAAGUCGGAACCUUUGCUGAACCAAAUCAGAUUUUUUCUCGAUCCUUUAGAUUUUUUUCUUAUGUAGAGGAACCACAGGAGUUGUAAUCGAGUUGGAAUAUAAGAGAGAUGAUAAAGAUACAAGCAACCGUCCAGAACAAGUUUUGAUACGAAUAUUAGAGAGUUGAAUGGUGAAACACAUUUCGGACAAUAUGAUCAAGAUGAAAAUGAUAAGCCAGCACUCCUGAUAAAUUCAGCAAAUUCUGUGUAUCUACUGUUCGUGUAUCAUCUCUCGACCAGCCUUCUGUGAUGUACAUACUUGUG
Dinoponera quadriceps is the source of this 5306-nucleotide RNA transcript. It is a transcript of the gene named nuclear pore complex protein Nup160 homolog, with no coding region annotated. The transcript has 15 exons. Lineage: Eukaryota; Metazoa; Arthropoda; Insecta; Hymenoptera; Formicidae. The record is from RefSeq and is a predicted model, not a curated record.